CCUACGGGUGGCAGCAGUGAGGAAUAUUGGUCAAUGGACGAGAGUCUGAACCAGCCAAGUAGCGUGAAGGAUGACUGCCCUAUGGGUUGUAAACUUCUUUUAUAUGGGAAUAAAACGUUCCACGUGUGGGAUUUUGUAUGUACCAUAUGAAUAAGGAUCGGCUAACUCCGUGCCAGCAGCCGCGGUAAUACGGAGGAUCCGAGCGUUAUCCGGAUUUAUUGGGUUUAAAGGGAGCGUAGGUGGAUUGUUAAGUCAGUUGUGAAAGUUUGCGGCUCAACCGUAAAAUUGCAGUUGAAACUGACAGUCUUGAGUACAGUAGAGGUGAGCGGAAUUCGUGGUGUAGCGGUGAAAUGCUUAGAUAUCACGAAGAACUCCGAUUGCGAAGGCAGUUCACUGGACUGCAACUGACACUGAGGCUCGAAAGUGUGGGUAUCAAACAGGAUUAGAUACCCUUGUAGUC
RNAcentral lists this ribosomal RNA (460 nucleotides) under uncultured bacterium. Its description in RNAcentral is "partial 16S ribosomal RNA". It matches the Rfam family "Bacterial small subunit ribosomal RNA", at positions 338 to 795 of the family's 1533-position model. The record is from RNAcentral.